AAUUUGGUAUUUCCAUUGGUUUAUCGCCUCAUUAGACUUGCAUUGACAUUACCGGUGGCAAUUGCAUCCAUUGAGAGGGUUUUCUCAGCCAUGAAUAUUAUAAAGACAGAUCUUCUAAACAAGAUGGGUGAUGAUUGGCUUAAUGAUGGGUCUCGUAUGAAAAUUGAAAUUAUGGGAUCAUAUUGUGGCAUAAGUGAGCAUUUCAAGCGACAAGAGUCAAUGCUAGAAGUUUAUUAG
Molecule: ribosomal RNA, 237 nt
Filed under: Triticum aestivum (bread wheat)
Lineage: Eukaryota; Viridiplantae; Streptophyta; Magnoliopsida; Poales; Poaceae
Description: partial small subunit ribosomal RNA
Source: RNAcentral